AGGUAUUGGUUUGGCCAAAAAGUUUGUUCAGGUUUUUACAUAUGGUGUGACAGAAAAAAUCAAACGUACUUUUUGGCCAACCA
Molecule: microRNA precursor, 83 nt
Filed under: Ovis aries (sheep)
Lineage: Eukaryota; Metazoa; Chordata; Mammalia; Artiodactyla; Bovidae
Description: miRNA (ENSOARG00000023026.1)
Source: RNAcentral